GGGGCAGGACUAAAUUGCAGCUCACACUCAGACAGAGCAGCAUGUGAAGACUCACAUCAUAAACUUUUGCUUCAAGAAGUACCCCAGGAAUAUACCAGGAAAGCCGAGAGAAUCCAUAGACACUUUGAUGGAAGUGGAUUGCUCCUACAGGCCCCAGGAGACACUGAAAAACUAGAAAGAGUUGGGGAAGAACAUCUCAUGCAGAAAGAGCACAAGAACACUCUCUUUGAAAGUCCAGAGGCUGUUUUCAACCUUAAUUUUUCCCUAAGGCAUCACAGACCUCUAAGACAUCUUGGUUUGAUCUGUGCAAAUGUAAGACAUAGUUAUAAAUUAGAUAGUGAAUACAUUUUGCAGUUGUUAAAAAUGGAUUCUUUGGCAUGCAAAUAAACCCAGCCUCCUCAAUCAUAUGUAUGACAAGACAAUUUCUGGAGGUGCUAGCUCUUUCAAGGAUUAAAGCACUAUAUCAAUAUUUUUUUAUACGCUGAAAACCGGCACAAUUUUUUUUUUAAUUCAAGAUUAUUUUGUCAAACAACAUGAAAUGCUCUGAGUCAUAGGUCCUUUCUGGGUUAGAGUGUGGGAAAUCCUUAAAGAGAAUUUGUGAGCAGUCAAAACAGAGUAAGUUUCUCACCUAUAUUUGCAUUAAUUGCAUUUAAAAGCACUAUUUUGUUUUCAAUAAUACCUGAUGAGGAACCUUCCAGAGAGCAGUAGAAGGCCCAUUACAGGAAAGAUUCACUGAGUGAUUGGACAUUCUCUGAUACAAGUCUGAAUAUCUUGAGAUCUGUCUUCAAGGCUCAUGAAUGUGAAAUGGUAUCACAGCGCUAGGGUGACCCCCUGUCUGGUUUGCCCGGGAUUUUUUUGUGGUUUUAGCAUGAGAGGCUCUAUGUCCCAGGAAACUCCUCUGUCCCAGGCAAACUGCGAUAGUUGGUCACCAGACUGCAAUAAAGAUUGGCUUCCUGGGCAGCCUGUGCCAUCACAGGCUGUGUGAUGGCACAGGCUGACCAGUUCUUAGAAGAGUCCCAUGCUUGGUUUAGUGCUUUGCUUUUGCUGUUUUGAAGUUUGUAAAUGUUUGAACAAAAGGUCCUACAUUUUCCCUUUUCUCUGGGCCCUACAAUUUAUGUAGCUGGUUCUAUCUUGACUUAGUAUUUACUGAGCUUUUACUAUGUAUCAGGCACUGAACAAAUGUCCUUGUAUUAGUUCAUCUAAUACCUAACUCUAAAAAGGGAGUUAUAAUGUACUAGUUUUACAGAUGAAGAAACUAUUGAUGUUAAGCAAUUUAACAAGAUAGUUAACUCACAGGAACAUAAAUUCACAUUAAGAACUGCUGACCCCAAGUCCCUUGAGCUUUCUGCUCUGCUGUGCUGAGGCUUAAAUAGCACCCUGCAGUGGGGAUAGGCACCAUCAGGUUCCAUCUUAGGAAGUUAUUGAUUUUGCUGAUCCCAGAUGGUCAAGUAUUGGCAACUUUGUAGAGUUCAAACUCAUAAUAAACCAUGUUAAAAAUCGCCACUGCUUUAGACAUGAGCUAUACCCCCUCCUAUCUUAGCCUUUCUACAAUUUGUCUUUGACCUGGCAGCUGACAUCGUUUUUAUUAUUUCUUCCUUCAGAUUUUCCUUGAAAUAAAGGUGGUAUGUAUGUAUGGGACCUGGCAUGAGGCAAGAUUGGAAUUCACAAUU
RNAcentral lists this long non-coding RNA (1670 nucleotides) under Papio anubis (olive baboon). Its description in RNAcentral is "lncRNA (ENSPANG00000048953.1)". Lineage: Eukaryota; Metazoa; Chordata; Mammalia; Primates; Cercopithecidae. The record is from RNAcentral.